This 699-nucleotide ribosomal RNA is filed under the name uncultured bacterium. RNAcentral's name for it is "bacterial SSU rRNA". It matches the Rfam family "Bacterial small subunit ribosomal RNA", at positions 51 to 765 of the family's 1533-position model. The record is from RNAcentral.
ACACAUGCAAGUCGAACGAAGUUAUUUGAGCUUGCUUAGAUAACUUAGUGGCGGACGGGUGAGUAACACGUGAGCAAUCUGCCUUUCAGAGGGGGAUACCGAUUGGAAACGAUCGUUAAUACCGCAUAACAUAGUAAAUUCGCAUGUUUUUACUAUCAAAGAUUUAUCGCUGAAAGAUGAGCUCGCGUCUGAUUAGGUAGUUGGUGAGGUAACGGCCCACCAAGCCGACGAUCAGUAGCCGGACUGAGAGGUUGAACGGCCACAUUGGGACUGAGACACGGCCCAGACUCCUACGGGAGGCAGCAGUGGGGAAUAUUGCACAAUGGAGGAAACUCUGAUGCAGCGAUGCCGCGUGAGGGAAGAAGGUUUUCGGAUUGUAAACCUCUGUGUACAGGGACGAUAAUGACGGUACCUGUUCAGAAAGCUCCGGCUAACUACGUGCCAGCAGCCGCGGUAAUACGUAGGGAGCGAGCGUUGUCCGGAAUUACUGGGUGUAAAGGGAGUGUAGGCGGGACGGCAAGUCAGAUGUGAAAUUUAGGGGCUCAACCCCUGACCUGCAUUUGAAACUGCUGUUCUUGAGUGAAGUAGAGGUAAGCGGAAUUCCUAGUGUAGCGGUGAAAUGCGUAGAUACUAGGAGGAACAUCAGUGGCGAAGGCGGCUUACUGGGCUUUAACUGACGCUGAGGCUCGAAAGCGUGGG